GAUGAACGCUGGCGGCGUGCCUAAUACAUGCAAGUCGAGCGAACAGACGAGGAGCUUGCUCCUCUGACGGUAGCGGCGGACGGGUGAGUAAAACGUGGAUAACCUACCUAUAAGACUGGGAUAACUUCGGGAAACCGGAGCUAAUACCGGAUAAUAUAUUGAACCGCAUGGUUCAAUAGUGAAAGACGGUUUUGCUGUCACUUAUAGAUGGAUCCGCGCCGGAUUAGCUAGUUGGUAAGGUAACGGCUUACCAAGGCAACGAUGCGUAGCCGAACUGAGAGGAGGAGCAGCAACACUGGAACUGAGACACGGUCCAGACGCAUACGGGAGGCCGCAGUGGGGAAUAUUGGACAAUGGGCGCAAGCCUGAUCCAGCCAUACCGCGUGGGUGAAGAAGGCCUUCGGGUUGUAAAGCCCUUUUGUUGGGAAAGAAAAGCAGCAGGUGAAUACCCCGCUGUUCUGACGGGACCCAAAGAAUAAGCACCGGCUAACUUCGUG
RNAcentral lists this ribosomal RNA (497 nucleotides) under uncultured bacterium. Its description in RNAcentral is "partial 16S ribosomal RNA". It matches the Rfam family "Bacterial small subunit ribosomal RNA", at positions 28 to 507 of the family's 1533-position model. The record is from RNAcentral.